AGCAGCCUCCCCCAAUCCACAGCUGCAUACAGAUGGACUGAGCACAAGUUUUAUACCGAAUGCCCUUCCUGAUGCAAACCUUCCUGUUGUCAGCAACAAGGAGUGGGUUUCAAACGAGGACCAACUUGAAGGGCCACUUGCUGUCGCAUCUGAGUCAUUGACAACCUCAGUAAGAUAUCGACAGUGUUUUGAGACAAGAAGGAGGGUUGUCUAUUACUCAUGUGACGGAAUUUACAGCGUUAUUCCAGAUGAUUCAUCUGCAGGACCAUGUACUUCACGUGUGCUGUACACCACUUCUGUCAUUAAGCAAAGAAAGUCAUCAUGAAA
Long non-coding RNA from Poecilia latipinna (sailfin molly), 327 nucleotides. RefSeq lists it as uncharacterized. The record is from RefSeq and is a predicted model, not a curated record. NCBI's taxonomy places the organism in Eukaryota, Metazoa, Chordata, Actinopteri, Cyprinodontiformes, Poeciliidae. The transcript has 3 exons.